AGAAAGUUGCAUGCAGCGUAAACGGAAGUGGACGCAAUUUGUGAUGGUUGCGCAACUGUGCAUCAUUGUGAGUCUCGACCACCGUUAAAACGUGUAGUCCGUAAGGUCAUGCCUGGGUAUGUUUCUAUAGUUCCACAUGAAUGAAGCUAGUAACUAUACACAGUUGUUGAAUAGUAGGCGGUCUCUCCAACAGUAGUGAUCUACACUCAUCUGGUUAACGAAUGGAUCGUUCACUACAGCUGUAAAGCCGAACAUAAGGAAUCACUAUUUCAAUAAGCAAGGUGAUGGGUGAUCUUCGUCGUCAUCGUGAUUAGUUUGUUCUGCUGUGAGACCGAAAGCCACAGUGAACCACUCAUGUCCCGACACAGUAAAAUGCAAAAGCAGGUUCUGGCCUUGUAUCGCCAGUUCCUCCAAGCGGGACGGGACAAACCAGGCUUCAUCCCCCGCAUCCGAGACGAGUUCAGGGAGAACUCCCGGAUCAAGAAGAAGGACGUCAUGCACAUCGAGUAUCUGUUCCGUCGGGCCCAGAGGCAACUGGAGCAGCUGAGGGACGUCAACACCAAACAGCUGGGCUCCUUUUCCAAACCUAAAACAGACAGAUGACCUAGUGAACGCAACUUUGAAGGUCCCCUCCCCGCACCCUCAUGUUGUUGUUGUUGUUGUUGUUGUUGUUUCCUCAAGGAAACAAGUUGUAUUAUACCAAUUCUUGGGAGAGGGGGUCUUUUAUUCUGUGAUUGCAGUGUUCACCGAACAUUGGUAUACCGUUCGCGAUUCUCCCAGUUGAGAUGCCCUCAAAGUGUGAGAACUAGGAGAUGCAAUGUGGGAAAGACAUUUAGUUUAAAUGUGUAUUUCAUUUGCAUUUAGGUGCGAUGAUACAAUAUAGAAUAUUGUCUUUGGUCGACAAUGAAUGUGGCUGAUCCUCUGCUGUUUUCAUUCAGGUCCUUUAUUGUCCUUGCUAUAAAACUAUAAAAAAAGUAGCAUUGUUUUAGAAAAUAAACUCGUAUUUAAACCAAAAUAUUGUUUUAUCCUGUGAUUUAAUUAAUAUUUACAUAAACACAUUUUGUAUAAUAUAAAUACAUAAUCUGUGAGGUUUUAACAUGCAUUGUGUCGGAUCUCUAUGUAGGCAUUCUUCUGAACCGGACAAAGGGGUAAAAAAAUAUUUUACGAAUUCCCACUUCGUCCACCUGAGGGCAACAGAACGGGACCCGGCGACGGAAGAGGAACUCGACGUAAACAGGAAGCACAGGGAGUGGAGGAAAACAACAUCGAACGCCAACCAAAGACGGAUCCCAAUUAAAUAUAUUUAUUCCCUACAAAUAGCGUCGUUCAAUCUGUAAAUAAUUUGUUUUGGUUGCUACAAGUUAUGUCGGGGUCAGCGAAUACCACCGACGGGAUGUCGAAUCCUCAGUUAUUCCAGCAGAUGGCCUUCCUGAACUGGCUCUCAACACAGAGUGACAGCAGUAGAGAAACCCUGAUGACCUUAACCGGCAUCGGUGUGGCCAGAGAGCUGUUCAACCGCCUCACAGGACAGGACAGAGUGGACUACUUUAAGAAAGAAUGUAUCCGGAGCAUUGCAGAGUUUGUCCAGACACAUCCGCGGGCGUCUGAGCCCGAGCUCAGCGCUGAGGUGAACAAGAACGUUCUGCUGUUCGCUGCGCGGGUGAAAGCACUGGAGUCCGCGCCAAUAUUCUGAAACACGCACAAACAUAUACACAUCUCGUACAGCCCAUCGUGCGGCAUAUAAACAAAUAUGAUUUUUUUUUGUUAUUUGUUCCUUUUCCAAGAACAGGAUUACAGCUGAAAAUGUAUUUCAAAUAACUCUGUUGAUCCAGGCAACUACCCAGCCGCGUUGGUAGGAAGUGGCAGAAUACGGCAGUGUCUAUAUUCCAUCAAUGUACCUUUUUAUGCCAUUGAAAAUAUAUUUUCUGACCCCACUGAGAUUUGCUGUUCUGCUGGUUUAUGCCCAUUGCUUAACCCCUUUUACUGUUGCACGAGCCCCAGUAUUGAUCUGCUGUUUCCCAGUAAAAUCUCAUGCUAGACAGUGGAUUAUUUACAUUGAUACCGCGAGGGCUGGAGGGAUUUUUGUGCUUAUCCACAAUGUCGAAGCAACGCAGGUCAGAGUCAGAUGCGGCACGGCGCGCACAUUAGUGUCUGUGCAUGGCUAUGUGCAAGUCAUAGCCUGUGCAUCUCGGCCCCCAUGCAGCAAUCUGUAUCGGCGUACAAAGGAAAUUCAGGAUGGAACAAUGAUAAUACGACAGGACCAACGUAUCUUGGAUGACGGGAACAACCUCGACCACUUUUCCAAAAGGACGGCUAAACUGCUCAAUAAAAAUAAGCCAAACUCAGACUUGGUGUUGGACAUGAGAGGCACUCUCAAACUGUUGUGGAAGAAUUAAGCAGAGUAUAUCAAUUAGAUCAGUUUAAGUAUAAUUAAAUAUUUCAAUUUUUAUUUCAAAUGGUUGACCCAAGUUUUGAAAUUUUUGUUAAUUUGAAUUUUUCUUUGUUCUGAAAUAGUUUUAAUCUAUUACUAUCGUGUAAUGCAGAAUAAUGUGAGUUGGGUUUUGUGAUUCUUUGCAUAUGAACGGUAGGGCUUUUAUCCAUAAAAAAUGUUGUGAAUGUUCAUAAUGUAAAGUGAAAUAAACAUUCUCAAAAAGA
Molecule: RNA transcript, 2655 nt
Organism: Gadus macrocephalus (Pacific cod)
Lineage: Eukaryota; Metazoa; Chordata; Actinopteri; Gadiformes; Gadidae
Exons: 4
Source: RefSeq, a predicted model, not a curated record